This 399-nucleotide ribosomal RNA is filed under the name uncultured bacterium. RNAcentral describes it as "bacterial SSU rRNA". It matches the Rfam family "Bacterial small subunit ribosomal RNA", at positions 355 to 772 of the family's 1533-position model. The record is from RNAcentral.
UUAGGAAUCUUCCGCAAUGGGCGAAAGCCUGACGGAGCGACACUGCUUGGAGGAUGAAGGUUUUCGGAUCGUAAACUCCUGAACGAGGGACGAAUAAUGACGGUACCUCGCUAAUAGCACCGGCUAACUCCGUGCCAGCAGCCGCGGUAAUACGGAGGGUGCGAGCGUUAUCCGGCAUCACUGGGCGUAAAGGGCGCGUAGGCGGUUUGUUAAGUCCGAUGUUAAAGACCGAGGCUCAACCUCGAUACGGCGUUGGAUACUGACAAGCUGGACGGUUGGAGAGGAAGGUAGAAUUACCAGUGUAGCGGUGGAAUGCGUAGAUACUGGUAGGAAUACCCAUUGCGAAGGCAGCCUUCUGGACAACACGUGACGCUGAGGCGCGAAAGUGUGGGGAGCAAA